This 711-nucleotide ribosomal RNA is filed under the name fungal sp. MT0840. Its description in RNAcentral is "eukaryotic LSU rRNA". The stretch from base 357 to 510 matches the Rfam family "5.8S ribosomal RNA". Lineage: Eukaryota; Fungi. The record is from RNAcentral.
CCACUGCUGACGGACUCUGCCCUAUGGGCGGGCAGAGCCUGAAUAAUGCAUGCUUUAUCGGGUGAGUGGCGGCCAUAGAGGUGGGCGCGGGUGGGGAAUUAAGUUUCUAAGCCGGCGGGCAUGCACGUGGAGUAUGGAGUGCUGAACCGACCGACCCUUACCUUCGUCCAUAGUAGCUCCGGCUCAAACUCUAUGAAGAUGACCAGUUCUAAAGACUCGGACUUUACGCGCUCAUGACUGCAUCCUUAUUAUACUUGUACCUCUCGUUCUCCUUCGGUGGGGCAACCUGCCGCUGGAAUUUUACAAAACCCUUUUUUGCAUCUAGCAUUACCUGUUCUGAUAAAAACAAUUGUUACAACUUUCAACAAUGGAUCUCUUGGCUCUGGCAUCGAUGAAGAACGCAGCGAAAUGCGAUAAGUAGUGUGAAUUGCAGAAUUCAGUGAAUCAUCGAAUCUUUGAACGCACAUUGCGCCCCUUGGUAUUCCAUGGGGCAUGCCUGUUCGAGCGUCAUCUACACCCUCAAGCUCUGCUUGGUGUUGGGCGUCUGUCCCGCCUUUGCGCGUGGACUCGCCCCAAAUUCAUUGGCAGCGGUCUCCGCCUCCUCUCGCGCAGCACAUUGCGCUUCUUGAGGUGCUGCGGCCCGCGUCCAGCAAGCAAUUUACCGUCUUUGACCUCGGAUCAGGUAGGGAUACCCGCUGAACUUAAGCAUAU